AUCCCAUGGUGAGGACAUUCUGAUAUAUAAUCUUGAAAGUGUUCCCAAGCCUCUAGGACAGAUUCAUUGUAUUGCUGCUAGAAAAUUGAGAUCUUUGCACGUAGGGC
RNAcentral lists this small nucleolar RNA (107 nucleotides) under Sorghum bicolor (sorghum). RNAcentral describes it as "Plant small nucleolar RNA R71". It matches the Rfam family "Plant small nucleolar RNA R71". From Rfam's summary of the family: R71 is a member of the C/D box family of snoRNAs containing the C (UGAUGA) and D (CUGA) box motifs. Multiple nearly identical copies of this snoRNA have been identified in Arabidopsis, and it is thought to function as a 2'-O-ribose methylation guide for 18S ribosomal RNA. Lineage: Eukaryota; Viridiplantae; Streptophyta; Magnoliopsida; Poales; Poaceae. The record is from Rfam by way of RNAcentral.